RNAcentral lists this ribosomal RNA (292 nucleotides) under uncultured bacterium. RNAcentral describes it as "partial 16S ribosomal RNA". It matches the Rfam family "Archaeal small subunit ribosomal RNA", at positions 456 to 747 of the family's 1478-position model. The record is from RNAcentral.
GGCCAGCCGCCGCGGUAAUACCGGCAGCCCGAGUGAUGGCCGAUAUUAUUGGGCCUAAAGCGUCCGUAGCUGGCCGAACAAGUCCGUCGGGAAAUCCACGUGCUUAACACGUGGGCGACCGGCGGAAACUGUUCGGCUUGGGGCCGGAGGACCCGAGGGGUACGUCCGGGGUAGGAGUGAAAUCCUGUAAUCCUGGACGGACCACCGGUGGCGAAAGCGCCUCAGGAGAACGGAUCCGACAGUGAGGGACGAAAGCUAGGGUCUCGAACCGGAUUAGAUACCCUAGUAGUCC